This 72-nucleotide transfer RNA is filed under the name Suillus luteus UH-Slu-Lm8-n1. RNAcentral's name for it is "tRNA-Pro (CGG) (tRNA-Pro-CGG-1-1)". It matches the Rfam family "tRNA". Rfam says of the family: Transfer RNA (tRNA) molecules are approximately 80 nucleotides in length. Their secondary structure includes four short double-helical elements and three loops (D, anti-codon, and T loops). Lineage: Eukaryota; Fungi; Basidiomycota; Agaricomycetes; Boletales; Suillaceae. The record is from RNAcentral.
GGCCCAAUGGUCUAGUAGUAUGAUACCCGCUUCGGGUGCGGGUGGUCCCGGGUUCAAUUCCCGGUUGGGCCC